This 253-nucleotide ribosomal RNA is filed under the name uncultured bacterium. RNAcentral describes it as "partial 16S ribosomal RNA". It matches the Rfam family "Bacterial small subunit ribosomal RNA", at positions 524 to 776 of the family's 1533-position model. The record is from RNAcentral.
UACGUAGGGUGCGAGCGUUAUCCGGAAUUAUUGGGCGUAAAGCGCGCGCAGGCGGUUUCUUAAGUCUGAUGUGAAAGCCCACGGCUCAACCGUGGAGGGUCAUUGGAAACUGGGGAACUUGAGUGCAGAAGAGAAAAGCGGAAUUCCACGUGUAGCGGUGAAAUGCGUAGAGAUGUGGAGGAACACCAGUGGCGAAGGCGGCUUUUUGGUCUGUAACUGACGCUGAGGCGCGAAAGCGUGGGGAGCAAACAGG